Molecule: ribosomal RNA, 518 nt
Filed under: uncultured Bacteroidota bacterium
Lineage: Bacteria; Pseudomonadati; Bacteroidota
Description: bacterial SSU rRNA
Rfam family: Bacterial small subunit ribosomal RNA
Source: RNAcentral
CAACCUGCCCACCACUUGGGGAUAACCUUGCGAAAGUAAGACUAAUACCCAAUGAUAUCUCUAGAAGACAUCUGAAAGAGAUUAAAGAUUUAUCGGUGAUGGAUGGGGAUGCGUCUGAUUAGCUUGUUGGCGGGGUAACGGCCCACCAAGGCAACGAUCAGUAGGGGUUCUGAGAGGAAGGUCCCCCACAUUGGAACUGAGACACGGUCCAAACUCCUACGGGAGGCAGCAGUGAGGAAUAUUGGUCAAUGGACGAGAGUCUGAACCAGCCAAGUAGCGUGCAGGAAGACGGCCCUAUGGGUUGUAAACUGCUUUUAUAAGGGAAUAAAGUGAGUCUCGUGAGACUUUUUGCAUGUACCUUAUGAAUAAGGACCGGCUAAUUCCGUGCCAGCAGCCGCGGUAAUACGGAAGGUCCGGGCGUUAUCCGGAUUUAUUGGGUUUAAAGGGAGCGUAGGCCGGAGAUUAAGCGCGUUGUGAAAUGUAGACGCUCAACGUCUGCACUGCAGCGCGAACUGGUU